Molecule: ribosomal RNA, 253 nt
Filed under: uncultured bacterium
Lineage: Bacteria
Description: partial 16S ribosomal RNA
Rfam family: Bacterial small subunit ribosomal RNA
Source: RNAcentral
UACGGAGGAUCCAAGCGUUAUCCGGAUUCAUUGGGUUUAAAGGGUGCGUAGGCGGAAUGAUAAGUCAGUGGUGAAAGCCUGCAGCUUAACUGCAGAACUGCCAUUGAUACUGUCAAUCUUGAGUACAUUUGAUGUGGGCGGAAUGUGUCAUGUAGCGGUGAAAUGUUUAGAUAUGACACAGAACACCGAUUGCGAAGGCAGCUCACAAAACUGUAACUGACGCUGAGGCACGAAAGCGUGGGUAUCAAACAGG